RNAcentral lists this long non-coding RNA (485 nucleotides) under Cricetulus griseus (Chinese hamster). Its description in RNAcentral is "lncRNA (ENSCGRG00015041141.1)". Lineage: Eukaryota; Metazoa; Chordata; Mammalia; Rodentia; Cricetidae. The record is from RNAcentral.
GUUCUUUCCAGAAAUCUCUAUCCAUAGGACAACCAAACUAAGGAUGCUGGGAUGAAAAAGGGCAGAGUCAGAGGAGCCAUCAGCAGAUGUAGAGCAAGCAGGACAUGCCAAAAAUGAGGAUGGACUCGAUCAAAGGUUGCAAGAGUCGUCCUGAGAUUUGAUUCAAUUUGCAAUCGACUGAGGAAGAAGUACAGCCUUUCAGUUUUUCCUGGCAUGCAAAUUCACUCUUGCUGUCGUGUGAAGGAUGGAGGGUCCACACCAGGUCUUCAGAACUGCAGAAUGAAAUUCAAGCAAAAACUGCCCACCCCUGCAUGUCUCCUGUGCCCAGGGUCAACCUUUCAGCUAUCCUGAAGUGUCCGAGCCUUGCCUCUUUCCUGGAAACUGAAACAGCAGAAAAAAAGCCGCUGGCACCUCUGAUGGACCCUGGGUCCUGUUGUGAAAGUUCACUCCUGCCCACUGCUGUGUACUCUGAAGCCCUGUCAUCU